GCAGGCCCAGGUGGAGGAAAAAAUGUAUAAAAGGAGGAGCCAAAGCACUUUCUCUCUCUGUUUCUCUCCGCAUGCGUGUGCUCUUCCUUUCUCCCUCUCUCUCUCUCUCUCUCUCUCUCUCUCCUCAACGUGGUCCUCCACUCUCUUCUCUUCAAGUCUUUGGGUUGGCAUGCCCUCACGCUUCGAGGAUGGAUUCUCCUGCUAUCUUCUAAACAAAAUAGAGCUGUAACCAUGAUUUGCCUAAGAGCUAUAACACGGUUUGUCCCGAGAGCUGUGACGCGCUGAGGACUUUAAUGCCUGUCACUCCAAAUCUUUGUUGUGAUGAGACAAAGAACCGAGGAACAUACAUUCAUGUGACAUCUAUGGUGCUGUGACUCAGGUUUAACCUGGCUGAAACAACCUCCUUGCGGAAGAGGCCAAGCACAGCAGGAGCCCAACUCAGCAAAGCUCCCGCAGUAGAGGCAGAAUGUGAAGAAAAUCCAGAGCAGGGGAAGGCCCAUCAUGCUGGAAACCAGGACAGUGAAAAACAAACUCAGCAGAAAGCUAGCACAGCCCAGUCCGCACAGCCCAGUCUCAGAUUCCAGAAGACCUCCGGUUAAGCAGUCAAGUUACAAGGACAUGACUCCUGGAUUCACUAUUCACGAAUCAACCUGUGGAAGAAAACAGAAGAGGACACCCAAUACACCUGUGAGCCCCUGGGAGAUCUCAGAUACCUAUUCAGGACUACUAAUGGCCAAGCCCCUACGGGACUCAUUGGAGGGACGGACCAACUCACUAGGAAUGGCCACAGGAUCAGGUAAGGCCCCGGAUCCAGUCCCCAGUCAGGUCCUACCCCAACAGACAGAAGACGAAUCUGAUCACCUCCUUGGAGC
This 872-nucleotide long non-coding RNA is filed under the name Capra hircus (goat). Its description in RNAcentral is "lncRNA (ENSCHIG00000001767.1)". The record is from RNAcentral. Lineage: Eukaryota; Metazoa; Chordata; Mammalia; Artiodactyla; Bovidae.